This 253-nucleotide ribosomal RNA is filed under the name uncultured bacterium. Its description in RNAcentral is "partial 16S ribosomal RNA". It matches the Rfam family "Bacterial small subunit ribosomal RNA", at positions 524 to 776 of the family's 1533-position model. The record is from RNAcentral.
UACGUAGGGUGCGAGCGUUAAUCGGAAUUACUGGGCGUAAAGUGUGCGCAGGCGGUUCGCUGUGUCCGAUGUGAAAGCCCCGGGCUUAACCUGGGAAUGGCAUUGGAAACUGGCGGGCUUGAGUGUGGCAGAGGGGGGUGGAAUUCCGCGUGUAGCAGUGAAAUGCGUAGAGAUGCGGAGGAACGCCGAUGGCGAAGGCAGCCCCCUGGGCUAACACUGACGCUCAGGCACGAAAGCGUGGGGAGCAAACAGG